AUACGGAGGGGGCAAGCGUUGUUCGGAAUUAUUGGGCGUAAAGGGCGCGUAGGCGGCUCUGCAAGUCAGUUGUGAAAUCCCUCGGCUUAACCGAGGAACUGCGACUGAAACUGCAGGGCUUGAGUCCCGGAGAGGGUAGCGGAAUUCCCAGUGUAGCGGUGAAAUGCGUAGAUACUGGGAGGAACACCAGUGGCGAAGGCGGCUACCUGGACGGGUACUGACGCUGAGGCGCGAAAGCGUGGGGAGCAAACAGGAUUAGAAACCCCAGUAGUCC
This 274-nucleotide ribosomal RNA is filed under the name uncultured bacterium. RNAcentral describes it as "partial 16S ribosomal RNA". It matches the Rfam family "Bacterial small subunit ribosomal RNA", at positions 523 to 796 of the family's 1533-position model. The record is from RNAcentral.